AGCGAGGUUGCCCUUUGUAUAUUCGGUUUAUUGACAUGCAAUAUACAAGGGCAAGCUCUCUGU
This 63-nucleotide non-coding RNA is filed under the name Callithrix jacchus (white-tufted-ear marmoset). Lineage: Eukaryota; Metazoa; Chordata; Mammalia; Primates; Cebidae. RNAcentral also lists the same sequence under 1 other name. The record is from RNAcentral.